This 273-nucleotide ribosomal RNA is filed under the name uncultured prokaryote. RNAcentral's name for it is "partial 16S ribosomal RNA". It matches the Rfam family "Bacterial small subunit ribosomal RNA", at positions 524 to 798 of the family's 1533-position model. The record is from RNAcentral.
UACGUAGGGGCUAGCGUUAUCCGGAAUUACUGGGCGUAAAGGGUGCGUAGGCGGUCUUUCAAGCCAGAAGUGAAAGGCUACGGCUCAACCGUAGUAAGCUUUUGGAACUGUAAGACUUGAGUGCAGGAUAGGAGAGUGGAAUUCCUAGUGUAGCGGUGAAAUGCGUAGAUAUUAGGAGGAACACCAAUAGCGAAGGCGGCUCUCUGGACUGUAACUGACACUGAGGCACGAAAGCGUGGGGAGCAAACAGGAUUAGAUACCCUGGUAGUCCCU